GGGGUAACGGCCCACCAAGGCGACGAUCAUUAGGGGUUCUGAGAGGAAGAUCCCCCACACUGGUACUGAGACACGGACCAGACUCCUACGGGAGGCAGCAGUGAGGAAUAUUGGUCAAUGGGCGAAAGCCUGAACCUGCCAUGUCGCGUGCAGGAAGACGGCCCUAUGGGUUGUAAACUGCUUUUGUAUGGGAAGAAACGACGGUACGAGUACUGUUUUGCCGGUACCAUACGAAUAAGGAUCGGCUAACUCCGUGCCAGCAGCCGCGGUAAUACGGAGGAUCCAAGCGUUAUCCGGAUUUAUUGGGUUUAAAGGGUGCGUAGGCGGGAGAUUAAGUCAGUGGUGAAAGUUUGCGGCUCAACCGUAAAAUUGCCAUUGAUACUGGUUUUCUUGAGUACAGUUGAGGUAGGCGGAAUGUGGUGUGUAGCGGUGAAAUGCUUAGAUAUACCACAGAACACCGAUUGCGAAGGCAGCUUACUAAGUUGUGACUGACGCUGAAGCACGAAAGCAUGGGGAUCAAACAGGAUUAGAUACCCUGGUAGUCCAUGCCGUAAACGAUGAUCACUAGCUGUUUGCGAUAUAUUGUAAGUGGCAAAGGGAAACCAUUAAGUGAUCCACCUGGGGAGUACGCCCGCAAGGGUGAACUCAAAGGAAUUGACGGGGCCCGCACAAGCGGAGGAACAUGUGGUUUAAUUCGAUGAUACGCGAGGAACCUUACCUGGAUUUAAAUGGGGAGUGACAGGGUAGAGAUACCUUCUUUCUUCGGACACUCUUCAGUGCUGCAUGAUGUCGUCAGCUCGUGCCGUGA
RNAcentral lists this ribosomal RNA (808 nucleotides) under uncultured bacterium. RNAcentral describes it as "bacterial SSU rRNA". It matches the Rfam family "Bacterial small subunit ribosomal RNA", at positions 254 to 1070 of the family's 1533-position model. The record is from RNAcentral.